GGGGAAUAUUGGGCAAUGGGCGCAAGCCUGACCCAGCCAUGCCGCGUGAGUGAUGAAGGCCUUCGGGUCGUAAAGCUCUGUGGGGAGGGACGAAAACACCUUGGCUAAUAUCCAAGGGGACUGACGGUACCUCCUUAGCAAGCACCGGCUAACUCCGUGCCAGCAGCCGCGGUAAUACGGAGGGUGCAAACGUUGCUCGGAAUCAUUGGGCGUAAAGCGCACGUAGGCGGCUCGUUAAGUCGGGUGUGAAAGCCCUCGGCUCAACCGAGGAAGUGCAUUCGAAACUGGCGAGCUUGAAUAUGGAAGAGGGUCGCGGAAUUCCCGGUGUAGAGGUGAAAUUCGUAGAUAUCGGGAGGAACACCAGUGGCGAAGGCGGCGACCUGGGCCAAUAUUGACGCUGAGGUGCGAAAGCGUGGGGAGCAAAC
RNAcentral lists this ribosomal RNA (425 nucleotides) under uncultured bacterium. RNAcentral describes it as "bacterial SSU rRNA". It matches the Rfam family "Bacterial small subunit ribosomal RNA", at positions 356 to 773 of the family's 1533-position model. The record is from RNAcentral.